GUCCCUUUGGGAAAUCCAAUAAAAUUGGAACGGUAUAGAGAAGAUUAGCAUGGCCCUUAACGGUAUAGACACGGAACAGACGAUAACUUUCCAACUUUA
Molecule: small nuclear RNA, 99 nt
Filed under: Brassica napus (rape)
Lineage: Eukaryota; Viridiplantae; Streptophyta; Magnoliopsida; Brassicales; Brassicaceae
Source: RNAcentral